This 436-nucleotide ribosomal RNA is filed under the name uncultured Blastochloris sp. RNAcentral describes it as "bacterial SSU rRNA". It matches the Rfam family "Bacterial small subunit ribosomal RNA", at positions 8 to 488 of the family's 1533-position model. The record is from RNAcentral. Lineage: Bacteria; Pseudomonadati; Pseudomonadota; Alphaproteobacteria; Hyphomicrobiales; Blastochloridaceae.
AGAGUUUGAUCAUGGCUCAGAACGAACGCUGGCGGCAGGCUUAACACAUGCAAGUCGAACGCCCGUAGCAAUACGGGAGUGGCAGACGGGUGAGUAACGCGUGGGAAUCUUCCCAAAGGUACGGAACAACUCAGGGAAACUUGAGCUAAUACCGUAUGUGCCCGAGAGGGCAAAGAUUUAUCGCCUUUGGAUGAGCCCGCGUUGGAUUAGCUAGUUGGUGGGGUAACGGCCUACCAAGGCGACGAUCCAUAGCUGAUCUGAGAGGAUGAUCAGCCACACUGGGACUGAGACACGGCCCAGACUCCUACGGGAGGCAGCAGUGGGGAAUCUUGGACAAUGGGCGAAAGCCUGAUCCAGCCAUGCCGCGUGAGUGAAGAAGGCCUUAGGGUUGUAAAGCUCUUUUACCCGGGAAGAUAAUGACGGUACCGGAGAAUAG